UGGGAGAUUCAUGGCCCUUUCUCAACUCUCCUGACUAUUGUCACUCACAAUGCGAACUCAAGAAGCUUCAGCUCCUAAGAAAAGUCCAAGACCAUGCUCAAGUUUUUGUAAAACUAAUUCAUUUGUACAAUUCUCAGUUCACUUAUUUCAGUGUAACUUGAUAAUCAAAUAAUCUAAGGACUUCAUUCACAUCCAAGUGCAGGGC
This 205-nucleotide long non-coding RNA is filed under the name Elaeis guineensis (African oil palm). RNAcentral describes it as "long non-coding RNA (EGUI_LNC027079)". Lineage: Eukaryota; Viridiplantae; Streptophyta; Magnoliopsida; Arecales; Arecaceae. The record is from RNAcentral.